GAUGAACGCUGGCGGCGUGCCUAAUACAUGCAAGUCGAGCGAACGGACGAGAAGCUUGCUUCUCUGAUGUUAGCGGCGGACGGGUGAGUAACACGUGGAUAACCUACCUAUAAGACUGGGAUAACUUCGGGAAACCGGAGCUAAUACCGGAUAAUAUUUUGAACCGCAUGGUUCAAAAGUGAAAGACGGUCUUGCUGUCACUUAUAGAUGGAUCCGCGGUGCAUUAGCUAGUUGGUAAGGUAACGGCUUACCAAGGCGACGAUGCAUAGCCGGCCUGAGAGGGUGACCGGCCACACUGGGACUGAGACACGGCCCAGACUCCUACGGGAGGCAGCAGUGGGGAAUAUUGCACAAUGGGCGCAAGCCUGAUGCAGCGACGCCGCGUGAGGGAUGACGGCCUUCGGGUUGUAAACCUCUUUCAGUAGGGAAGAAGCGAAAGUGACGGUACCUGCAGAAGAAGCACCGGCUAACUACGUG
RNAcentral lists this ribosomal RNA (477 nucleotides) under uncultured bacterium. RNAcentral's name for it is "partial 16S ribosomal RNA". It matches the Rfam family "Bacterial small subunit ribosomal RNA", at positions 28 to 507 of the family's 1533-position model. The record is from RNAcentral.